RNAcentral lists this ribosomal RNA (528 nucleotides) under Triticum aestivum (bread wheat). RNAcentral describes it as "partial small subunit ribosomal RNA". The record is from RNAcentral. Lineage: Eukaryota; Viridiplantae; Streptophyta; Magnoliopsida; Poales; Poaceae.
AUGUUCGGCAUGGACAUCAACGGCGAGAUGGCGGUGUUCGACGCCGCCACGCUCGGCGCCCUACAGUUGGUCCCGCGUCCGCCAGACAUGCCCAACCUCAGCAGCAAGAUGUACGGCUCCAUCUGCCCUCGGAAGCAAGAGUUGGAUUACGUCCACCUCGUCGCGUUGCCGAGCAAGCUGGUCCUGGUCGUGGUAAGGACCACCGUCAAGUCGUCCCGGCCGGUGGCCUUCGACCUCUUCGAGCUAGGCUCUUCUCCGGCGCCUGACGGGCAGCUCGCGUGGCGCAAGGUGGCCGAGGCUGGUAACUACGAAUUGUUCGUCGAUAGGUACCACGCAACCUUCAGGGAUAAUGACGGCGCCAACGAGGGCGGAACUCGGAUCUACUACGUCCAUGACAAGAAGAAGGUUUCUGCCGUCGCAGCAUACUGCUACAGCAUGCAGGAUAAGAAGCUGGAAUGCGUCUACAGGUCACCGGAGGAUGAUGGUCCUCCGGACUGCUUAACUAGGCCUAGUUGGUUUGUUCCUUAG